RNAcentral lists this small RNA (266 nucleotides) under Pan troglodytes (chimpanzee). RNAcentral's name for it is "Metazoan signal recognition particle RNA (ENSPTRG00000049581.1)". The record is from RNAcentral. Lineage: Eukaryota; Metazoa; Chordata; Mammalia; Primates; Hominidae.
GCUGGGCGCGGUGGCUCACGCCUGUAAUCCCAGCAAUUUGGGAGGCUGAGGCAGGUGGAUCACUUGAGGUCAGGAGUUUGAGACCAGCCUGACCAACAUGGUAAAACUCCAUCUCUACUAAAAAUAAUAAUAAUAAUAAUACAAAAAUUGGCCAGGCACGGUGGCUCAUGCCUGUAAUCCCAGCUCUUUGGGAGGCCGAGGUGGGCAGAUCACCUGAGGUCGGGAGUUCGAGACUAGCCUGACCAACAUGGAGAAACCCUGUCUCU